GAUGAAGAACGUAGAGAAAUGCGAUAAGUAAUGUGAAUUGCAGAAUUCAGUGAAUCAUCGAAUCUUUGAACGCACAUUGCGCCCGCCAGUAUUCUGGCGGGCAUGCCUGUCUGAGCGUCAUUUCAACCCUCAUGCCCCUAGGGCGUGGUGUUGGGGAUCGGCCAAAGCCCGCGAGGGACGGCCGGCCCCUAAAUCUAGUGGCGGACCCGUCGUGGCCUCCUCUGCGAAGUAGUGAUAUUCCGCAUCGGAGAGCGAUGAGCCCCUGCCGUUAAACCCCCAACUUUCCAAGGUUGACCUCAGAUCAGGUAGGAAUACCCGCUGAACUUAAGCAUAUCAAUAAGCGGAGGA
RNAcentral lists this unclassified non-coding RNA (348 nucleotides) under soil metagenome. Its description in RNAcentral is "partial contains 5.8S ribosomal RNA, internal transcribed spacer 2, and large subunit ribosomal RNA". The stretch from base 1 to 120 matches the Rfam family "5.8S ribosomal RNA", at positions 35 to 154 of the family's 154-position model. The record is from RNAcentral.